GACGAACGCUGGCGGCGUGCUUAACACAUGCAAGUCGAACGGAAAGGCCCUGCUUUUGUGGGGUGCUCGAGUGGCGAACGGGUGAGUAACACGUGAGUAACCUGCCCUUGACUUUGGGAUAACUUCAGGAAACUGGGGCUAAUACCGUAUAGGAGCUCCUGCUGCAUGGUGGGGGUUGGAAAGUUUCGGCGGUUGGGGAUGGGCUCGCGGCUUAUCAGCUUGUUGGUGGGGUAGUGGCUUACCAAGGCUUUGACGGGUAGCCGGCCUGAGAGGGUGACCGGCCACAUUGGGACUGAGAUACGGCCCAGACGCGUACGGGAGGCAGCAGGGGGGAAUAUUGCACAAUGGGAGGAAGCCUGAUGAAGCAACGCCGCGUGCGGGGUGACGGCCUUCGGGUUGUAAACAGCUUUCGCCUGUGACGAAGCGUGAGUGACGGUAAUGGGUAAAGAAGCACCGGCUAACUACGUG
RNAcentral lists this ribosomal RNA (468 nucleotides) under uncultured bacterium. RNAcentral describes it as "partial 16S ribosomal RNA". It matches the Rfam family "Bacterial small subunit ribosomal RNA", at positions 28 to 507 of the family's 1533-position model. The record is from RNAcentral.